GAAUAAGAAGCAAAAUAUUGCAUUUAGUUUCGACCUAAAAGUUUGGCCAAGCCCUUAUUUU
This 61-nucleotide transfer RNA is filed under the name Tenebrionoidea sp. 14 KM-2017. RNAcentral's name for it is "tRNA-Arg". The record is from RNAcentral. Lineage: Eukaryota; Metazoa; Arthropoda; Insecta; Coleoptera.